AGAGUUUGAUCCUGGCUCAGGAUGAACGCUAGCGGCAGGCCUAACACAUGCAAGUCGAGGGGCAGCGGGGGUAGCAAUACCUGCCGGCGACCGGCGCACGGGUGAGUAACGCGUAUGCAACCUGCCCCCGUCUGGGGAAUAGCCCGUCGAAAGGCGGAUUAAGGCCCCAUGGUUCCGUUGACCGGCAUCGGUUAACGGAUAAAGGUUACGGACGGGGAUGGGCAUGCGUGCCAUUAGCUAGUUGGGGGGGUAACGGCCCACCAAGGCGACGAUGGCUAGGGGAGCUGAGAGGCUGAGCCCCCACACUGGUACUGAGACACGGACCAGACUCCUACGGGAGGCAGCAGUGAGGAAUAUUGGUCAAUGGGCGGAAGCCUGAACCAGCCAUGCCGCGUGCAGGAAGACGGCCCUACGGGUUGUAAACUGCUUUUCUGCGGGAAGAACGGCCCCUACGUGUAGGGGUGUGACGGUACCGCAGGAAUAAGGAUCGGCUAACUCCGUGCCAGCAGCCGCGGUAAUACGGAGGAUCCGAGCGUUAUCCGGAUUUACUGGGUUUAAAGGGUGCGUAGGCGGCUCCCUCAGUCAGCGGUGAAAUGUAUCGGCUCAACCGAUAACCUGCCGUUGAUACUGGGGAGCUUGAGUUGGGUUGAGGCAGGCGGAAUGUGCGGUGUAGCGGU
This 677-nucleotide ribosomal RNA is filed under the name uncultured bacterium. RNAcentral describes it as "bacterial SSU rRNA". It matches the Rfam family "Bacterial small subunit ribosomal RNA", at positions 8 to 682 of the family's 1533-position model. The record is from RNAcentral.